This 804-nucleotide ribosomal RNA is filed under the name uncultured crenarchaeote. Its description in RNAcentral is "bacterial SSU rRNA". It matches the Rfam family "Archaeal small subunit ribosomal RNA", at positions 52 to 863 of the family's 1478-position model. The record is from RNAcentral. Lineage: Archaea; Thermoproteati; Thermoproteota.
UGCGAGUCAUUGUAGUAAUACAAGGCAGACGGCUCAGUAACGCGUAGUCAACCUACCCUAUGGACGGGAAUAACCUCGGGAAACUGAGUAUAAUGCCCGAUAGAACACUAUACCUGGAAUGGUUUGUGUUCCAAAUGAAUGUCGCCGUAGGAUGGGACUGCGGCCUAUCAGUUUGUUGGUGAGGUAAUGGCCCACCAAGACUAUUACAGGUACGGGCUCUGAGAGGAGUAGCCCGGAGAUGGGUACUGAGACACGGACCCAGGCCCUAUGGGGCGCAGCAGGCGAGAAAACUUUGCAAUGUGCGAAAGCACGACAAGGUUAAUCCGAGUGGUUUGUGCUAAACGAACCUUUUGACAGUCCUAGAAACACUGUUGAAUAAGGGGUGGGCAAGUUCUGGUGUCAGCCGCCGCGGUAAAACCAGCACCUCAAGUGGUCAGGAUGAUUAUUGGGCCUAAAGCAUCCGUAGCCGGCUCUGUAAGUUUUCGGUUAAAUCUGUACGCUCAACGUACAGGCUGCCGGGAAUACUGCAGAGCUAGGGAGUGGGAGAGGUAGACGGUACUCGGUAGGAAGGGGUAAAAUCCUUUGAUCUAUUGAUGACCACCUGUGGCGAAGGCGGUCUACCAGAACACGUCCGACGGUGAGGGAUGAAAGCUGGGGGAGCAAACCGGAUUAGAUACCCGGGUAGUCCCAGCUGUAAACUAUACAAACUCAGUGAUGCAUUGGCUUGUGGCCAAUGCAGUGCUGCAGGGAAGCCGUUAAGUUUGCCGCCUGGGAAGUACGUACGCAAGUAUGAAACUUAAAGGA